This 440-nucleotide ribosomal RNA is filed under the name uncultured bacterium. Its description in RNAcentral is "partial 16S ribosomal RNA". It matches the Rfam family "Bacterial small subunit ribosomal RNA", at positions 338 to 795 of the family's 1533-position model. The record is from RNAcentral.
CCUACGGGAGGCUGCAGUGGGGAAUAUUGCACAAUGGGGGAAACCCUGAUGCAGCGACGCCGCGUGAGUGAGGAAGUAUUUCGGUAUGUAAAGCCCUAUCAGCAGGGAAGAAUAUGACGGUAUCUGACUAAGAAGCCCCGGCUAACUAUGUGCCAGCAGCCGCGGUAAUACGUAGGGUGCAAGCGUUACUCGGAUUUACUGGGGGUAAAGGGUGCGUAGACGGCUAAUCAAGUCAGAAGUGAAAUCCCAGAGCUUAACUUUGGGACUGCAUUUGAAACUGAGUAGCUAGAGUGUGGGAGAGGUAAGCGGAAUUCCUGGUGUAGCGGUGAAAUGCGUAGAUAUUAGGAGGAACACCAGUGGCGAAGGCGACUUACUGGACUGUAACUGACGUUGAGGCUCGAAAGCGUGGGGAGCAAACAGGAUUAGAUACCCCUGUAGUC